Molecule: ribosomal RNA, 596 nt
Filed under: uncultured bacterium
Lineage: Bacteria
Description: bacterial SSU rRNA
Rfam family: Bacterial small subunit ribosomal RNA
Source: RNAcentral
AAUGCCUAGGAAUCUGCCUGGUAGUGGGGGACAACGUUUCGAAAGGAACGCUAAUACCGCAUACGUCCUACGGGAGAAAGCAGGGGACCUUCGGGCCUUGCGCUAUCAGAUGAGCCUAGGUCGGAUUAGCUAGUUGGUGAGGUAAUGGCUCACCAAGGCGACGAUCCGUAACUGGUCUGAGAGGAUGAUCAGUCACACUGGAACUGAGACACGGUCCAGACUCCUACGGGAGGCAGCAGUGGGGAAUAUUGGACAAUGGGCGAAAGCCUGAUCCAGCCAUGCCGCGUGUGUGAAGAAGGUCUUCGGAUUGUAAAGCACUUUAAGUUGGGAGGAAGGGCAGUAAGCGAAUACCUUGCUGUUUUGACGUUACCAACAGAAUAAGCACCGGCUAACUCUGUGCCAGCAGCCGCGGUAAUACAGAGGGUGCAAGCGUUAAUCGGAAUUACUGGGCGUAAAGCGCGCGUAGGUGGUUCGUUAAGUUGGAUGUGAAAUCCCCGGGCUCAACCUGGGAACUGCAUCCAAAACUGGCGAGCUAGAGUAGGGCAGAGGGUGGUGGAAUUUCCUGUGUAGCGGUGAAAUGCGUAGAUAUAGGAAGG